Molecule: non-coding RNA, 70 nt
Organism: Danionella cerebrum
Lineage: Eukaryota; Metazoa; Chordata; Actinopteri; Cypriniformes; Danionidae
Source: the annotation of a GenBank genome assembly
UUUCCUGUGGCUCAGUUGGUAGAGCAUUGCGCCAACAACUCCAAAGUCAUGCGUUUAAAUCCCAGGAAAA